AGGGCCGAGUAGAAAGCACUUUGGAGAAUCAACAGCACGUGAAAUUGUUGAAAGGGAAGCGCUUGCAGCCAGACUUGCUUGCAGUUGCUCAUCCGGGCUUUUGCCCGGUGCACUCUUCUGCAGGCAGGCCAGCAUCAGUUUGGGCGGUGGGAUAAAGGUCUCUGUCAUGUACCUCUCUUCGGGGAGGCCUUAUAGGGGAGGCGACAUACCACCAGCCUAGACUGAGGUCCGCGCAUCUGCUAGGAUGCUGGCGUAAUGGCUGUAAGCGGCCCGUCUUGAAACACGGACCAAG
RNAcentral lists this ribosomal RNA (292 nucleotides) under Curvularia intermedia. RNAcentral's name for it is "partial 28S ribosomal RNA". It matches the Rfam family "Eukaryotic large subunit ribosomal RNA", at positions 356 to 670 of the family's 3401-position model. The record is from RNAcentral. Lineage: Eukaryota; Fungi; Ascomycota; Dothideomycetes; Pleosporales; Pleosporaceae.